RNAcentral lists this ribosomal RNA (400 nucleotides) under phytoplankton environmental sample. Its description in RNAcentral is "partial small subunit ribosomal RNA". It matches the Rfam family "Eukaryotic small subunit ribosomal RNA", at positions 587 to 990 of the family's 1831-position model. The record is from RNAcentral.
AGCUCCAAUAGCGUAUAUUAAAGUUGUUGCAGUUAAAAAGCUCGUAGUUGGAUUUAUGUGCUAGCGAGUCGGUCGGUCGCAAGGCUUGUUUACUGAUUCGCUUGUGCUUUUUCUCCGAGACCUCUUGUACACUUUACUGGGUGCAGGUGUGUAUUGGAGACGUUUACUUUGAAAAAAUUAGAGUGUUUAAAGCAGGCGUUUGUCAUGAAUACAUUAGCAUGGAAUAAUAAUAUAGGACUUCGGUUCUAUUUUGUUGGUUUCUAGGACUCAAGUAAUGAUUGAUAGGGAUAGUUGGGGGUGCUAGUAUUCAGCGGCCAGAGGUGAAAUUCUUGGAUUCGUGGAAGACGAACUACUGCGAAAGCAUUUACCAAGGAUGUUUUCAUUAAUCAAGAACGAAAGU